AUUGAACGCUGGCGGCAGGCCUAACACAUGCAAGUCGAACGAGUGGCGGACGGGUGAGUAAUGUCUGGGAAACUGCAUGAUGGAGGGGGAUAACUACUGGAAACGGUAUCUAAUACCGCAUACCAUCGGAUUUGCCCAGAUGGGAUUAGCUAGUAGGUGGGGUAAAGGCUCACCUAGGCGACGAUCCCUAGCUGGGCUGAGAGGAUGACCAGCCACACGGGAACUGAGACACGGUCCAGACUCCUACGGGAGGCAGCAGUGGGGAAUAUUGCACAAUGGGCGCAAGCCUGAUGCAGCCAUGCCGCGUGUGUGAAGAAGGCCUUAGGGUUGUAAAGUACUUUCAGCGGGGAGGCGUUACUCGCAGAAGAAGCACCGGCUAACUCCGUGCCAGCAGCCGCGGUAAUAC
This 406-nucleotide ribosomal RNA is filed under the name uncultured bacterium. RNAcentral describes it as "partial 16S ribosomal RNA". It matches the Rfam family "Bacterial small subunit ribosomal RNA", at positions 30 to 526 of the family's 1533-position model. The record is from RNAcentral.